This 74-nucleotide transfer RNA is filed under the name Campylobacter ureolyticus. RNAcentral describes it as "tRNA-Gln". It matches the Rfam family "tRNA". From Rfam's summary of the family: Transfer RNA (tRNA) molecules are approximately 80 nucleotides in length. Their secondary structure includes four short double-helical elements and three loops (D, anti-codon, and T loops). Further hydrogen bonds mediate the characteristic L-shaped molecular structure. tRNAs have two regions of fundamental functional importance: the anti-codon, which is responsible for specific mRNA codon recognition, and the 3' end, to which the tRNAs corresponding amino acid is attached (by aminoacyl-tRNA synthetases). tRNAs cope with the degeneracy of the genetic code in two manners: having more than one tRNA (with a specific anti-codon) for a particular amino acid; and 'wobble' base-pairing, i.e. permitting non-standard base-pairing at the 3rd anti-codon position. Lineage: Bacteria; Pseudomonadati; Campylobacterota; Epsilonproteobacteria; Campylobacterales; Campylobacteraceae. The record is from RNAcentral.
UGCCUUAUAGUUUAGUGGUAGAACUGCUGACUCUGGAUCAGCUGACACUGGUUCGAAUCCAGUUAAGGCAUCCA